This 483-nucleotide ribosomal RNA is filed under the name uncultured bacterium. Its description in RNAcentral is "partial 16S ribosomal RNA". It matches the Rfam family "Bacterial small subunit ribosomal RNA", at positions 30 to 507 of the family's 1533-position model. The record is from RNAcentral.
UUGAACGCUGGCGGCAUGCCUUACACAUGCAAGUCGAACGGCAGCGCGGACUUCGGUCUGGCGGCGAGUGGCGAACGGGUGAGUAAUACAUCGGAACGUACCCUGUUGUGGGGGAUAACAAGUCGAAAGAUUAGCUAAUACCGCAUACGACCUGAGGGUGAAAGUGGGGGACCGCAAGGCCUCACGCAGCAGGAGCGGCCGAUGUCUGAUUAGCUAGUUGGUGGGGUAAAGGCCCACCAAGGCGACGAUCAGUAGCUAGUCUGAGAGGACGAUCAGCCACACUGGGACUGAGACACGGCCCAGACUCCUACGGGAGGCAGCAGUGGGGAAUUUUGGACAAUGGGGGCAACCCUGAUCCAGCAAUGCCGCGUGUGCGAAGAAGGCCUUCGGGUUGUAAAGCACUUUUGUCCGGAAAGAAAUCGCGCUGGUUAAUACCUGGCGUGGAUGACGGUACCGGAAGAAUAAGCACCGGCUAACUACGUG